CGAGUAUGGAAAUCAUCAACAUUUGCUUUUGACAUGAGUUUCCUUAUAAAUUGAACUUUGUCCAAUUGAUUUCUAAAACCUUCAAAUGUUUUAGUUAAACGAUCACCUUUGUUGGAUCCUUGUACUUUCCCUGUUUGUCUGAGUAAUUCUUGCCAUGUAAGACUUCCAUUCUCAGAAAACAUGCGUUCAGCGAAUUGUUGCUCUAAUUCUUCUAGGUGAUUCAAUGUAUACUGUCUUUUAGUAUGCUCAUUUGGGAAUAAUGAAGGGUAUUCAGUAAAGUGUUGAUCAAGUUUUGAAAUGUAACUUUCAACAUCCUUAUUAGGAUCGAAUUUCCCUAUCUCUGGUACAUGCUUCGAUAAUAUUUUUGCAAAAAGGUUUAUUAAAUGUUCGUCUGAUGUUUGAAUUCCAUCCAAAUUCUCUGGUCUCCAUCGUUUUGCUCUUGCUUUCAUAUAACGAUAAUUUGCGUAGGACAUUGUAUAUGUUUCCCUUUGGGAGAUUUCAAAAGGGAUAACAGUCCUUCCAAAGUUCUUUCUCCUUUGAACCCAGAAGGAGAGAAAUAUAUAUAUUUAUGAUAUAUAUUUAUUCAAUAAUUCCUUUUUCCUAAAGGAGUUAAUUGUAGAUCACAAGAGUUCAGUUAUUGUAAGCUACGCAGUUUGGUAUCUGAUUUAAGGAUACGUAGAACUGCGGUGAGUUUUCCUUGUGAUCUAUUAUAUUACAAUACACAGGUUGUAUAAGUAGCAACUGAGUAUAGGUAUUGUAUUAACUGGGUUAUAAUGUUACCUAUCACUAA
This 790-nucleotide long non-coding RNA is filed under the name Schizosaccharomyces pombe (fission yeast). Lineage: Eukaryota; Fungi; Ascomycota; Schizosaccharomycetes; Schizosaccharomycetales; Schizosaccharomycetaceae. The record is from RNAcentral.